CCCCGUCGGGCUCCGCCGCGCCCCCAGGUGAGUGACUGGCUGCGCGAGGGCUCGAGCUGGGCCACCUUCGGGGACCCAGGCCUCUGGGAACGCUCCCCUCUGGGCCAGGUGCGUAGGGGGCGGAAGGGCAGGCAGCGCAGGUGGAGCAGCGCGGGCGGGAGCCGACCAGGCGCUUCCUCUGCCCCUGUAGCCCCCAAAGUCCGAGGCGCCGCGGAGGAGGGGCCGGGCUGGGUACAGGCAGGGUGGCCCCGGCCCAGGAGCCUGGCGGCCGGAGUGCGGAUUGCUCAUCUGAGAAUCUGGGAAUCCGGAAUGAACUAGAAGGGAACGGAGGCGCUGCCCUGGCCGAGUCGCUGCCCCGCGCGCCCUCCUAGAGCACCGAAGUCCUGCCCGGCCACGGGACCGGGAGCUGCCGCAGCGUCAGCCUGAGCCCGGAGCAGGGCUUGCGCCCGCGGUGCGGGGGGUCUCUCCGCCGCCCCGCUAGGCUCCUGCCGUGCCCUCCCUGCCCUUUGUUGUGUAAUGAGACCUGUGGCGGCUCCACUGAGACCCACACGUGCAACUCCACGCCUCUGCGUUAAAGGAGGCGAAACGCAGCGGCCCUGAGAACCCCCGAGACCCCGGUGUCUUAGCAGAGGCGCCUCGGAUGCGGAGGGGCGCGGGGUCGGCGCUACCCCAGAGGAAAAGCCCAGCGGAGCCAGGCUUGGCCGCAGCCGGCAGCGGCGGUGUGCGCCGGGCCUUCUGCCUUGGAUCCUCCGCAGUCGGCACUGCUUGCCUGCUCGGAUUCGAACCCCGAUGCGGCUCCCAGGGGUCCAGGGUGCCCAGUCCUACAGCCAGCUCGCCGCCACCGGAGCCCCUGCCGGAGGAAGCGCUCCCUAGUCGCCGCUGCGGCUGUUUCUGGCAAAAGCGUAACCACACUGUGAUCAUUUACCCUCUUUCUUGGAAGGUGGAUUCCUUCCAGAAGACGCCCUAAGCAUUGGUCCAGCUGCCUCUCAGCCCGACCCUGACCAGCCGUGGGGAGCCACGCCCAUCCCAGA
Molecule: long non-coding RNA, 1031 nt
Filed under: Saimiri boliviensis boliviensis (Bolivian squirrel monkey)
Lineage: Eukaryota; Metazoa; Chordata; Mammalia; Primates; Cebidae
Description: lncRNA (ENSSBOG00000036508.1)
Source: RNAcentral